AAUAAUAAUUAAUUAAAUUAUUACUUAAGUGAGUUAACCCAUUUAACAACUCAACCCAUCAAAUUAAAUGAGUUAUAGGUUGACCAACCCAUUUAACAAAAUGGGUUAGUCAACCUAUAACUCAUUUAACCCUAAACUCAUUUGAUUAUGAGUUGAGUUGAGUUGGGUUUACCUAUUUUGACACCCCUAAUUAUACAUGGUAUAGAAGCAAUCAAUAUUGCGAUCGCUUAAACAUUCUUGA
RNAcentral lists this small RNA (241 nucleotides) under Arabidopsis thaliana (thale cress). RNAcentral's name for it is "ATSL151360". The stretch from base 34 to 153 matches the Rfam family "MIR405 microRNA precursor family". The record is from RNAcentral. Lineage: Eukaryota; Viridiplantae; Streptophyta; Magnoliopsida; Brassicales; Brassicaceae.